AACGAACGCUGGCGGCAUGCCUAACACAUGCAAGUCGAACGAGACCUUCGGGUCUAGUGGCGCACGGGUGCGUAACGCGUGGGAACCUGCCCUUAGGUUCGGAAUAACUCCCCGAAAGGGGUGCUAAUACCGGAUAAUGUCUUCGGACCAAAGAUUUAUCGCCAUUGGAUGGGCCCGCGUUGGAUUAGCUAGUUGGUAGGGUAAAAGCCUACCAAGGCGACGAUCCAUAGCUGGUCUGAGAGGAUGAUCAGCCACACUGGGACUGAGACACGGCCCAGACUCCUACGGGAGGCAGCAGUGGGGAAUAUUGGACAAUGGGCGAAAGCCUGAUCCAGCAAUGCCGCGUGAGUGAUGAAGGCCUUAGGGUUGUAAAGCUCUUUUACCCGGGAUGAUAAUGACAGUACCGGGAGAAUAAGCACCGGCUAACUCCGUG
This 433-nucleotide ribosomal RNA is filed under the name uncultured bacterium. Its description in RNAcentral is "partial 16S ribosomal RNA". It matches the Rfam family "Bacterial small subunit ribosomal RNA", at positions 29 to 507 of the family's 1533-position model. The record is from RNAcentral.